RNAcentral lists this unclassified non-coding RNA (145 nucleotides) under soil metagenome. Its description in RNAcentral is "partial internal transcribed spacer 1". The record is from RNAcentral.
UAAUAAGUGUUUUAUGGCACUUUUUAAAUCCAUAUCCACCUUGUGUGCAAUGUCAGUCGAUCCUCUUCAUGGAGAUCGACCAAACAUCAACCUUUAUCUUUUAACUCUUUGUCUGAGGAAUAUUAUGAAUAAACAAUUCAAAAUA